Molecule: ribosomal RNA, 318 nt
Filed under: uncultured Pseudomonadota bacterium
Lineage: Bacteria; Pseudomonadati; Pseudomonadota
Description: bacterial SSU rRNA
Rfam family: Bacterial small subunit ribosomal RNA
Source: RNAcentral
AUUGAACGCUGGCGGCAGGCCUAACACAUGCAAGUCGAGCGAGAAAGGUCUUCGGACUGAGUAAAGCGGCGGACGGGUGAGUAACGCGUAGGAAUCUACCUGGUAGUGGGGGAUAACUCGGGGAAACCCGAGCUAAUACCGCAUACGCCCUAUGGGGGAAAGCGGGGGAUCUUCGGACCUCGCGCUAUUGGAUGAGCCUGCGUCGGAUUAGCUUGUUGGUGAGGUAAAGGCUCACCAAGGCGACGAUCCGUAGCUGGUCUGAGAGGAUGAUCAGCCACACUGGGACUGAGACACGGCCCAGACUCCUACGGGAGGCUG